UGGACCGUUUCGACACAAAAUCAUCUGUUAUAACCCCAAACUUACUAAUCCGUUUCAUCUUCUCUAUGUAGUUAGUGAUGCAGAUGCUUUGUGGCUUGAGAUAUGGUUCGUAGUAUCAUGGAUCUUUGAUUAAUUUACCGAAUGGUUCCCAAUCAAACAUGAAAUAUACCUUGAUUAUUUGUCUCUGAGGUAUGAAAAAAGAUCACCAUUUGAGUUGGCUCCCUUAGAUAUUUUGGUGAGUACAGUUGACCCAAUGAAAGAACCACCCUUUAUUACUUCAAACACGGUGUUAUCAAUCUUAGCAGUUGAUUAUUCAGUGGAUAAAGUUGCUUGUUAUGACUCUGAUGAUGGUGUUGUCAUGCUGCCAUGCUUACAUUUGAAGCUUUGUCAGAAACAUCGACAUUUAAGUUUAGCAUCAAGCUGUGUGCUUCUGAGUGGUGUUUUGCCCAAAAGUUUGGUAUCUUAAAGACAAAGUUCACCCCGCAUUUUUCUGGGAACGUCGUGCAAUAAAGGAUUAUGAAGAGUUCAAGAUUCAGAUAUCAUUUCAAUGACGCAAAAGGUCAACAACACAUCUCUUACCUCCACCCCUAUUUAUUUUCUCAUUUUUUGUUUUACAUUCUUCUUAUUUGGGGAUUGCUUGAUUUCUUUCUCGUGAUUCUUUGGCGGUAUAAUUCCUUAUUCUUCCAUAUCGUUUUUAGUGGUGGCGUGUGUUUUCCUUUAGGGUGUGUGGAGGGUGUCUUGCAACAGGUCUAUGGUAAUAAAUUCCAAACAAAUUGUUUUAGAUAACCCAUCCUAGAUUGCGCCUUCUGUUUUCCUCAAGAAUGAUGCAAAUGGGUCUGGAAAGGGGAAUAAAGCUUGAUGGAGUGGUAUGUGUUGGAAAACCGGAGCUAUGAUGUUAAAAUAUUAACUUAACAAUUUUUGGGUGCGGGUGAGGUUCGAUCUCAUUGGUGUGUGUCUUGGUGAUAGGACUAUACCAUUAUGGGUUUGGUUUUAUGCAUGUGUUUGGUGUGCACGCUAAAAAGGGCUACUGCAGGAUUCUGAAUUAUUGGCGUUCACAUGUUUUUGGCGGUAUAGUUCUUUGGUAUCCUUUUCGUGUUGGCGUGUGAUUUACUUCUUUGGGGGGGGGGGGCUGCAAAAGGUUUUUAGCAUUUGUUUUCAACAUACUUUCUGUUAAUACAAUUUAGAUUGCAUCAUUUGUUAAUUCCACAUGGGUUGGGAGCUUUGGGUAUUGUCUUGGGGUGAGUGAGUUUGGUGGCGUGUCAAUACCGUAAAUUGUUUUUUCGAAAGUU
Long non-coding RNA from Helianthus annuus (common sunflower), 1289 nucleotides. RefSeq lists it as uncharacterized. Lineage: Eukaryota; Viridiplantae; Streptophyta; Magnoliopsida; Asterales; Asteraceae. The transcript is spliced from 2 exons. The record is from RefSeq and is a predicted model, not a curated record.